GAGAUUCUAUCUUAAUAAAAGUAUUUGAGUUGCAUUCAGAAGAUGUGGGUUAGUAUCCUACGAGUCUUA
Molecule: transfer RNA, 69 nt
Filed under: Pithecopus megacephalus (large-headed leaf frog)
Lineage: Eukaryota; Metazoa; Chordata; Amphibia; Anura; Hylidae
Description: tRNA-Ala
Rfam family: tRNA
About the family: Transfer RNA (tRNA) molecules are approximately 80 nucleotides in length. Their secondary structure includes four short double-helical elements and three loops (D, anti-codon, and T loops).
Source: RNAcentral